Molecule: non-coding RNA, 1001 nt
Organism: Chelonoidis abingdonii (Abingdon island giant tortoise)
Lineage: Eukaryota; Metazoa; Chordata; Testudines; Testudinidae
Source: RefSeq, a predicted model, not a curated record
CCCCUCAAUCCUGGCUGAAAGAUGAGAUUUCUAUGAAGAGAAAAGGUUCUAGACCUGAGAGGGAGGCAAUCAGGGUUUACAAAACAAUUUAUGGCCCAGAAAAGUUACACCUGAACGUGCUUCCUCUGUGUCAGAAGACGGAUCUAACAACGCAGUCUGGGCUCUGUGCCAAGGGCUGGUAUUUCACAGCAGCGACCGCCUUACAGAUGAGCUGUGGGAAGCAGGAGGGAGACUCUCUUAGGGUGCCACUACUAUGGAGACACAGCUGGGCUGAACAAGAUUUGCUUCAAACGACAACAAGAGAGACAGAAAGUGUCUGGUUCGACCGCUGCCCAAGCAGGCAGUAACCAGAAGAGCUAGCAGCCAAUCCGGCCAUGCUGCACUGUUCGAAACCAGCUCCGCAUCUCAGCCAAUCAGUGACAUCAUUGGAGGGAGCAGGGGCAUCUUCCCCAAGUCCCAGAGACUGGAGCCUUUUGGAGUGAGAUGCAUGUCUGGGCCAGCCAUUAUACCCAUAGUAGUGCUACUAUCAAAGGCGGCUCUCAGAAUUCAAAGGCAAAUGGGGACGAGGUCUUGAGGGAUUAUACAUUCUGUAGCUGGCAAAACAAGUCCCCAUUUAAAUACUAAGCUUACUACCCUAAUGAUUGCGAAGUACUUGUUCCUUGGAACUGCACCUGUUCAGCAUGACACCCUCCUUUGCUGGGGAUGUCACAACUAUAAUUGGAGAAUGAAACCUGUCUGUGGGGGUAAGGUGGAUAGCUGCUGUUAUGACUUUUGCGAAAAGAUCCUUUUUGUUUCACAAAUUAGGGCUGAUGUAUCCUGCUCUCACAGUGGUGUAGAAAGCAGUCUAUUACAGUGCUGGAUUAAUCAAAGGGGCCUUUAUGGUUUGUGAAAGAAUAUCUAUGUGCUUAGACAGGAAACUUUUUGAUCCACAGAAAAGCCAGACGACAUCUAGGACCAGACAAGACAAUUUUAGACUCACACUUAUUGUGAUAUCCUCAGUG